AAAAAACUAAUUUUGCAAUUAAGAACUUGGGUAAUGGAACUAACAAAUAAAAAAUUAACAGGAAAGCUAACUGAAUUGAGAUUUAUAUUGAAAAUGUAUGCAAUAGAACCUAUAACAGAAAUUGUGGUAAAGGAACCGUUUGCUAUAUGGACCUUUCUUUUUCAGAGCAUAGGAAAUAGAUAGAGAAUUUAUUUGAAGAGCCUGUCA
Molecule: unclassified non-coding RNA, 207 nt
Filed under: Hevea brasiliensis (rubber tree)
Lineage: Eukaryota; Viridiplantae; Streptophyta; Magnoliopsida; Malpighiales; Euphorbiaceae
Source: RNAcentral